Molecule: long non-coding RNA, 300 nt
Organism: Bombyx mori (domestic silkworm)
Lineage: Eukaryota; Metazoa; Arthropoda; Insecta; Lepidoptera; Bombycidae
Exons: 2
Source: RefSeq, a predicted model, not a curated record
AAUUUAGAUAGCAGUUAUGGGAGUUCAUAUUAAAGAGUUCCUUCUUUAUUUCGCCGUAAAGUCGUGUUUUAUGUAAUUAACACCACAGUUGGAACAAUUAAAUUUUAUUGUUAUAGCGGCAUAAACAAUUCUAAAUGGAAAGUAACGCGUUGCCAUGCUGAAGACUCCGAACAUUUUAGAAGACUUGUUUUUUCAGAUAACUUCAAUACUAAACACCGCUCAAAAGGACGCUUUAGAAUUUUGGUGUCAUGACAAAAAGUUCCUUAUCACAAUAAACAAACAAGGCUGUUUUUAAAUGAA